UGCUUUUGUAGCAAUACGAGAGUAUCCUAGUGGCGAACGGGUGAGUAACGCGUUGGUGACCUACCCCAAAGUGUGGGAUAACAGUCCGAAAGGAUUGCUAAUACCGCAUGUGGUUAUUGGAUUUAGAAACUGAUAACUAAAGGAGCAAUUCGCUUUGGGAGGGACCUGCGUCCCAUCAGCUAGUUGGUGAGGUAAUGGCUCACCAAGGCUACGACGGGUAGGGGACCUGAGAGGGUGACCCCCCACAAUGGAACUGAAACACGGUCCAUACACCUACGGGUGGCAGCAGUAGGGAAUAUUGCACAAUGGGCGAAAGCCUGAUGCAGCAACGCCGCGUGUGCGAUGAAGGCCUUCGGG
RNAcentral lists this ribosomal RNA (357 nucleotides) under uncultured bacterium. Its description in RNAcentral is "bacterial SSU rRNA". It matches the Rfam family "Bacterial small subunit ribosomal RNA", at positions 69 to 422 of the family's 1533-position model. The record is from RNAcentral.